Macrolepiota fuliginosa MF-IS2 is the source of this 89-nucleotide non-coding RNA. Lineage: Eukaryota; Fungi; Basidiomycota; Agaricomycetes; Agaricales; Agaricaceae. The record is from the annotation of a GenBank genome assembly.
UCUCUGUUAGUAUAUCGGUUAGUACACGCGCCUGUCAUAGAAAUCUUCCUUGGCCGCGCGAAAGCGGGGUUCAACUCCCCGACAGAGAG